Molecule: long non-coding RNA, 859 nt
Organism: Gigantopelta aegis
Lineage: Eukaryota; Metazoa; Mollusca; Gastropoda; Neomphalida; Peltospiridae
Exons: 3
Source: RefSeq, a predicted model, not a curated record
UUAAAAACACACCAGAUGUAAUAUAAACAGUCUCACACGGGAAUUCGUUUAGUAUUUUCUGGAUCUGCUAGCGGUGUCACGGUGUCCGUCUGUUCGCUGUUACUCGUCUUCAUACAGUUUGUCUUCAAGUGAUUGUCACAAUAUCAGAGAUGUUUGCUCCACCUUGAAUGACGUCAUAAUAUUGACUGAAACUACACUAGGAGACCAAAUGACUGAACAUUCAUUCUUUAGUUCGUGAUUAUAUUUCCUGUUGCAUCGUCUCGAGAAUUACACCACACGCUGUGAAAGACCAAAAGCUAGAUCGUAAUUUUGGUAUCCUGUAACAUUGUUAUAAUUUAUUAAUUAAACAACUUUGAAAGUUUUAAUUGAUUUCUAUUCUUACUUUGCAAAAAUGUCAAGAUCGAUCCUGUGAGCUAUCUAUAUAAGGGAUAAUGUACGAUGAAGUGUGGUACAUGAACAUUAAUUCCCGUGUCCUGUACUGUUGGGGCAACUUAAUCCAUUUUUAAUUUUAAAACAGUCUGGUUUGGGUUUGGUACCAAUCCCCGUCGGUGGACCCAUUAGGCUAUUUCUCGUUCCAGCCAGUGCACCGCGACUGGGAUAUGAAAGGCCGUGGUAUGUGUUAUCCUGUCUGUGGGAUGAUGCAUUUUAAAGAUUCCUUGAUAUUAAUGGAAAAUAGUCUUAAGUGAAAAUAGGGCGGGUUUCGUCUCUUAAGACUAUUUCAAAAUUACCAAAAUGCUGAUGAUUAAUAAAUUGAUAUACUCUAGUGGUGUCGUUAAACAAAACAAACUUUAACUAAAAUUAAUAUUUCCACCUUCAAUGCAAGCAAUAGACACCAUUCAUUUGAUGUGGUCAACUACAC